This 1206-nucleotide long non-coding RNA is filed under the name Homo sapiens (human). Its description in RNAcentral is "HSALNT0240970". The record is from RNAcentral. Lineage: Eukaryota; Metazoa; Chordata; Mammalia; Primates; Hominidae.
GCCGGGCAUGCCUGGGAGACAGAGCGAGACUCCAUCUCAAAAAAAAAAAAAAAAAAAAAAGAAAAAAAAACUUUCCUAAGUAGCGGGACAUAGCUGAACCUGGCCUGGAUGUAUAGGGUCAGGUUGAACUACUGCCUGAACUACUGGAACAUCAGGAACUGGCUGUGUCUCAGCGGCAGGCAGUUGUGGAGCCUGAUUAUUUUCCUGAGCAGCCUGAUUGUCAGGCUGUUGAUCUUGACGGGUUGCGGGAUCAGCUGCCUGCUGAGAAGGAUCAGCAGGCUGUGGCUGAUUUUGUGCCACUGGGACGGCGGGUAUUGGAGGUUGUAAAAUUACAGGAAAUUGCCAGGCUUCGGGAUCCCCAUAUUCUCUUGUCUGAGCUAUAGCCCUCAUAAAAGGAGUGUCAUUUUCAGGGAUGUAUAUAGCUCAUUGCUUAUGAGCGGCAAUGGUGGUAUUGGCCACCACAGUAGCAACUGGACCAGAAGCAGGAAAAAGUUUGGAAUUUUGAAUGGAGGAAGAGUUGAGAACCUGUAGGCCAGGAUGAGACGAGAUUACCUGCUGGGCAGGUCUUUCAUGGGCCUGAGGCUGCCGCAGUAACUGUGGACCAGGCUUCAAGGGAGCCUGAGGUUUCAAGGGAGCCUGAUUUGUCAGAAAAGACCCAGGCUUCAAGGAAGUGUGAUUUGCCGAAAGAGACCCAGGCUUCGAGGGAGACUGAUUUGCCAAAAGAUACCCAGGCUUCAAAGGAGCCUGAUUUCUGAAAGAGACCCAGGCUUCAAGGGAGCCUGAUUUACCAAGAGAGGUCCAGGCUUCAAGGGAGACUGACUUGUCAAAAGAGAACGAGAAGAGAGAGGUGGAAAAAUAGGUUGAAUAUGGAUAGGGUUGAGGGCCUCAUAACUGGGCUGAACUGGUAGAAAGUUGAGAGCCCCACAGCGGGGCUGAACAGAGAUAGGGUUGAGGGCCUCAUUACCAGGCUGAAUAGGCAAGAAGUUGAGAGCCCCACAGCAGGGCUGAACAGAGACAGAGUUGAGGGCCUCAUUGCUGGGCUGAACAGGCGGAAGGUUGAGAGCCCUACAGCAGGGCUGAGGAAAGACAGGAGGGUCUGGCCAUGAUAGCUGUUGAUGAUAUAUUUCGGUUGGAGUUUGCUGGUUUGGGGAAAGAUCAUUUUUAAAGGUCAUCAAAAAGUGAUAAUGGAGGCAUGGUAGGCUCUGG